AUAGGAGGUGGUGUAUUUCCUCAUAUCAAGGAACCCGAUUACCUUAGAGAUGGUCAAUAUCGGAUCAAUUCUCAGGCCACACCCACCAUGCUAAACUGCCUCAUGUACAAACUCUCCUAUUACAGGUUUGUGGAGACAGAUGGUAAAGCCUUUGA
Long non-coding RNA from Alnus glutinosa, 155 nucleotides. RefSeq lists it as uncharacterized. The record is from RefSeq and is a predicted model, not a curated record. The transcript is spliced from 3 exons. Lineage: Eukaryota; Viridiplantae; Streptophyta; Magnoliopsida; Fagales; Betulaceae.